Musa acuminata AAA Group (dessert banana) is the source of this 2061-nucleotide RNA transcript. It is a transcript of the gene named guanine nucleotide-binding protein subunit gamma 4-like, with no coding region annotated. The transcript has 6 exons. NCBI's taxonomy places the organism in Eukaryota, Viridiplantae, Streptophyta, Magnoliopsida, Zingiberales, Musaceae. The record is from RefSeq and is a predicted model, not a curated record.
GCGUCCUUUAGCGGCAACAUUGUACGAGUGGGCGGCUAUGCUUCUUCAAGCUGCGCACAGGUGUCAAUUGUUGCUGCGGAAGGAGAGCAGGUUUUGAUUUAUACCUCCUACUAAUUUGAGGAAGAACACUGCCUGAAACAUGAACAGGCCUCCAUGGUUUGACAGGGAAACCUUUACGCAACCUGUGCAUCGAGAUGAGACACUUGAACGUUCGAAAUAUUGGAGUCUGCGAAGAUUAUACUGUUUUGCUCGGAGCGGCUUGAGCUGGAAACCAAGAACGCGAAUUGAAUGCAGAGUUGAGGUGGGGAAUGAGGAUGCGACAGUCGCGCCACCCUCGGCGGUGGGCGUCACGUGCGGUCCUGUGGUACGGUGCUCUUCUCCUUUACACGAACCCCUCCCUGCAUCAAGCAACGCCACCAAACACCAAGGGGCACUGCAGCAGUGAUCGGACAAGAAGAACGCUCGAGGCGUGUCGUGAUGCGUGCGUGUACGUGAAAGAUAGAAAGAUGCAUUGAUGGAGAGAUAAUAAUGCAGCAAAAUGGCGAAAUAUGCCUCCUGCUACUGCUGCUCCCGCAACCGCCUCUAUUAUUUCCACGCCCACAUAGCGCGUAUGGGGUUCCCGUCCUGGUUCUUCAUCCCCCCACCCUUGCCGUCAUCUCUCUUCACUCUCCCUAACUCCUCAUUUAGGUUCCUUGAUCUCGAGGCCUUUUGAGUGCUCGGCGAUCCGUUUGAGCUGUUGGAUAUGGAGGAGCCGGUACCCCGCGCGCCUCAGCCGGCUGCGGCUGUGGUGGUGGCGCCCAGGCCCAAGUCGCCGCCCAAGUACCCCGACGUCUGCGGCCGCCGGAGGCUGCAGCUCGAGUUGCACAUCUUGAACCGCGAGAUCGGUUUCAUCGAGGAGGAGUUGCAAUCGCUCGAGGGAAUUCAACCUGUUUCCAGAUGCUGCAAGGAGUAUGCUUCACUUGUCAGAUCUUGUAUACUAUUUGUCUUUAUUUAGUGAUUCAGAAAGGAAAACUCGGGUAAACGAAUUUGUGGAGAUGAAACCAGAUCCACUAAUGCCUAUGUAUGAUUCUCCAACUUCACCUGUUGUGUACCAAGAUUUAUGUAAGAGAAUAUAACAUCUGCAAGUUCUUUUCUGUCAAUUAGAAAUAAACGGAGGCACAAAUCGUGUUGCUUGUGGAGAUGGCUACGGUCAAAGCUGUGCUUGGACUUCUCAUGGAUUUGCUGCUUAAGCUGGUACAUCCUCGGGCUUGAAAGAUCAAACUGUUCUUGUCCACAAAACUGUAGCUGUUGCGACUAUGGGUGUCCCUGCUCUGAGUGCUGCGAGGGUCUUACCAGUCGACCAUGCUGCUGUUGUUCAGGGAUUCCUUGCAGUUGCUCAAAGUUUCCUUGUAGUAGCAUUAAAACAUGUUUCAGCUGCUUGAAAGUUCCUUGCAGUUGUGGAGAAACAUGCUGCAGCUGCUCAAAAGUAUCGUGCAACUGCAGCAAAGCAUGCUGCAGUUGCUCAAGCUUGUCAUGCUGCAGACCUCAGUGCAGUUGCUGGAAUGCUUCCUCCUCCAGUCCUGGCUGCUGCAAGUGGUGGUCUUCCCGCUUCAAACCACGGUGUUCCAGUUCAUGUUGUGAUCAGCCAUCAUGCUCCGAUUCAUGUUGCAGCCAACCACUGUGCGGUAGCAGGAGGCCUUCUUGCUGUCCUCAACAAUGGUGCUGUGGCUGCUGUAGACCACAAUGGUGCUGUGCCGGAAGACCUCCAUGCUUCGGAUCAUGCUGUUUCCGAGAUCGGUGCUGUAGUCUGAGACCUUCACGCCCCACAACCUGCUGCCGUCUUCCAAACCUCUCCUGUCCUCAAUGCUCCUGUGGCUGUUCCUGGUCUUGCUCCAAGUCUACAGGAGGAUGUCUAUAUUAAGAUCAUAACACAAAGUUGUAUUCCUUAUACUGUGGAUGAAUCAAUGCAUAAUGUUGAGACAUUGUGAUCAAUAAAUGCAUUAGUCCCUCCUGCCUUUCAUUUGGAUUCACCCAAACAGUUGUUCUUCAGGGAGUAGUAAUUUACAUUUCUUUUAGAACUCC